GGUUUGGGUGGUGAAAGGGUGGAAAACCACUGAACCAGUUUCCCUAAGCUCCUUCAGCUCUAUUGUUUGUGUUGGGGUUUGAAGGAAGGGUGUUUGCCAGAGACAGGGAAGAAAGGCAUUUUGUGCGUUCCCCUGUGCUGGAGUCGCAGCACAAGUGACAGCUCAGAGCAUGAGAGGCCUGGAGUGUGGGGAGGAGAAGCAAGGUCUCUGAUCCUUUCUGGCUGCUUCUCAACCACUAAGACCUAAUUCUGGCUGCAGGAUCCAGAUGUUUUGAAGGCCAGCGUAAGCUCACCAGAGAAGCCACUCCCCCCAUCUUUCACAGUCCUCUGUCCACUGAGUCACAAGCUGCUAGACUGCACAGCCCCUUGGCAGUGGUUGGAAUGAACUGCCACAUCAGUGGCUUUGGUGGUGAUGUGUACCACACCUGCAGAAACUCCCGAUGAAGCAUAGAGGGAGAUCAGCUCAUCGCUCCGGCCUGCUAUUUUUAAAAGCAAUUUCCAGUGUUUUCUCCCUCCACUGCUUUCCACCAAACUAUGGGAAAACAUCACAAUUAAUGGACUGUAACAUCCCCAACAGCUGCUACCCAACUCCACGCGGGGCUAGUGGUACACAGAAAUGACUUUAAAUUUAGUCUUACAUUUUGUAACUUGGAAAAUAUAACCAACCAAUAUAA
Molecule: long non-coding RNA, 673 nt
Organism: Balaenoptera musculus (blue whale)
Lineage: Eukaryota; Metazoa; Chordata; Mammalia; Artiodactyla; Balaenopteridae
Exons: 2
Source: RefSeq, a predicted model, not a curated record